Non-coding RNA from Arvicanthis niloticus (Nile rat), 372 nucleotides. The record is from the annotation of a RefSeq genome assembly. NCBI's taxonomy places the organism in Eukaryota, Metazoa, Chordata, Mammalia, Rodentia, Muridae.
AUGGGAUGGAGCUGGAUCUUACUCUUCCUCCUCUCAGUAACUAUAGGCGUCCAGUCUGAGGUUCAACUGCAGCAGUCUGGAGCUGAGCUGGUGCAGCCUGGGGCUUCAGUGAAGCUGUCCUGCAAGGCUUCUGGCUAUGAGUUUGCCAGCUACUAUAUGAGCUGGGUAAAGCAGAGUCAUGGAAAGAGCUUUGAGUGGAUUGGGACUAUUGGUCCUUAUGGUGGUACUGACUACAAUGACAUGUUCAAGGACAAGGCCACUUUGACUGUAGUCAAAUCCUCCAGCACAGUCUAUAUGGAGCUUAGCAGACUGACAUCUGAGGACUCUGCGGUCUAUUACUGUGGAAGACACAGUGUGACAACCACAUCCUGA